UCUUUUUCUCCAAGGGUUAAAAGGGAAGCGGGUGUGAUUCCCGCACGAUCUCGUCACUGUGAUAAGGGAGUGGGAGCGUCAGGACUUUGCUUAUGGCAAAGUCAGUCACUGAUCCGAUGGAUUGGGAAGGCGAUGACUUCCGCGAUGAUCUUUCAGCCAGGAAACCUGCCAGUUAUAAU
Molecule: non-coding RNA, 179 nt
Filed under: uncultured Acetatifactor sp.
Lineage: Bacteria; Bacillati; Bacillota; Clostridia; Lachnospirales; Lachnospiraceae
Source: RNAcentral